This 23488-nucleotide long non-coding RNA is filed under the name Triticum aestivum (bread wheat). RNAcentral's name for it is "long non-coding RNA (TAES_LNC005389)". Lineage: Eukaryota; Viridiplantae; Streptophyta; Magnoliopsida; Poales; Poaceae. The record is from RNAcentral.
AGGUAUAUUGCAUACUAAAUUUGGAGACUAACCACACAUUUUACAAAAGUCAUUUGGUUAAAGGAUUAAUGCCAAAUAGUAGUUGCAAAUGGAAAACAGAAAAGGAAUAAGGAAAAAGAAGAAAGACACUAUGCACUUAGGCCCAGUGCUACAGUGCAUGACCCAGCCCACCUCCAGUCUCCUCCCACCUCACAUACAGGAGCCCUGCCGUGGCCGUGCGCAUGCCGUCCACGCGCUCAAUUGAUCUCGUGUCGAGCAUCCACGACCAUCUAGAGAAAGAUAAGACCGCCCCCAACCCACAGGACAAACCCUGAUCCCCAUUCUCUCCCUCGUUCACUAUCUUUCUCAAAUAAGAUCUCGCCCGAGCCGUGCUCGCCACGACCGUCGUCGUCGCCGCGGCCAACGUGCUCCCUGUCGCCUGAGGAGAUGUCCAGGAGGACUCUCGCGGUCGACUACGUCUUCUCCGAGCCUCCAAUCGAACUGGGACACCCCGAGCGCUCGCGAUCGAGCGUCUUCCUCGCGUCCGGUCGCCACUGCCCCACCCUGGAUCUCCUCCCUCAGCGCUCCCCCGGCCUCCCGAGCACAUCAUCGAGAACCGCUGUGAGGCCCUCGUCCAAGUCCCCUUCUCCACCCCUUAGAAUCCGUGCCAUAGCCGCCACCCUUGAGCUCGCCCGGAGCUCCGUGUGCCCACUCGCCUCUGGCCGCGUUCACCGCGCCCAAGUCUUCCCCUGACCACACCCGGAUCCUCGUGCUCACGCCUGCAUCCGCCCGCCGCACUCCCAUGUCCGCGCACGUGGCCGCGUUCACGCGCGCCCCCGGCCGCCCCGUUCGCGCUCCUGGUCGCGCCUACCGCACCCCGUACUCCACUGUGUGCGUCGCCCACUCCCUGCCCUGCGCGCACCCAUGCCUCCGUGUGCCCCUGCCUGCACCGGGACUCGCCACUGCAGGCCGCUGCUAUUGCUUGCUUCUCUUGCUUUGCGUACUGCUACUGCUCAAGCAACUGCCUUCUCCUGUCGCUGCCUACUAUAGUUGCUGCCCUGCUCAUCCAGCCCCUGCUGCUGCUGUGCACUGCUACUGGCCAUGGCCAGGUUCGUGGCCGUGCAUGCUGUGUGCGCGCACAGCAUGUAUGUGAGUUGUGUGUGUGGUGUUUGUGUGUGGCCGGUGUGCCAGUGCGCUAGGUGAGCGUGCGUGUGUGUGAGUGUUGUGUGUGUGCACAUCAUGCAUAACCGGAUGUGCCUCUGGCCGGCUUAAUUAACUAGAGAUAGAUUAGUUUUAGGAUUAGAUUACUGGGCUAAAUAACCUAAUGUGUAGAUGACAUGUGCCCCACUAGUUUAACUUAGUUUAGACUAAUUGAAUUGCCCCUGUGGCCCUUACAUGUGGGCCACACCUGCCCCUUUGACUAACCAAAUUUGACUUGGUCAAUUCGGAUUAUCUAUACCAAUAUAAAAAGAGCCAAAGGGGUAGAUUCAACUGAUCUCGGCAAUCAAACUAAGUCAAUCUAACGACCUAGAUUGCUCCAAUGGCGAGCGUUCAAUGUGUUUAACUUGCAAUUAAUAUCAUACCAAAUAUUGCACUAACCAUAUAAUUAACACAUAAAUAAUAGCAUACCUAAUAUCCGCGUGCAAUUAAUAUAUUGCCUAAAUAUUAACGUGUGUUGCACGUGCGCAUUUACUAGUUCUAAAUAAAAAACAGAAAAUUAUUUAAACUUUGAAAACUAAUAAAAAAUUAUUCGUAACUCGGAUGAAAAUACUUUGAACAUGAAAGUUGCUCAGAACGACGAGACGAAUCCGAAUACACAACCCGUUCAUCCGCCACACAUCCCUAGCAUAGCGAACACGCAACUUUUCCCCUCCGGUUUGUCUGUCCGAAAACGCGAAACACCGGUGAUACUUUCCCGGUUGUCCCCCCCCCUUUGUCGGUAUCAUCUAGUACUGCGUUAGGUCACCUCUAGCAUUACGUAUUGCCAUGUUAUGCUUUGUGAUGUUUUGAUUGCUCUGUUGUUUAUUGUGUUCCCAUCCGUUACUUGUUUCCCGUAGACCCCGGGACCGAUGUCGGUACCCCUGUGAUCGACUACAUCGACAACGAACCCUUCUUGCCGGAGCAACCAGGCAAGCCCCCCCCCCCCCGAUCAUCAGAUAUUGCCUAUUCUUCUCUCUAUUGCUUGCAUUAGAGUAGUGUAGCAUCUUACUGUUUUCGGUUAAUCCUAUUCUGUUGCAUAGCCUGUCAUUGUUGCUACAGAUGUUGAUACCUUACCUGCAUUCCUAAAUGCUUAGUAUAGGAUGCUAGUUUAUCAUCAGUGGCCCUACAUUCUUGUCCGUCUGUUGUGUUAUACUGUCGGGCCGUGAUCACUAGGGAGGUGAUCACGGGUAUAUACUUAUGUAUAUAUACAUGAUACAUGUGAUGACUAAAGUCGGGUCGGUUCGUAGAGUACCUGUGAGUGAUUCCGGUGUGGGGGCUGAAAGGACGGGUGGUUCCAUCCCGGUGGUGGUGGGUCUGGGUUCCUGACGGCCCCCGACUGUUACUUUGUGGCGGAGCGACAGGGCAGGUUGAGAUCACCUAGGUGAGAGGUGGGCCUGACCCUGGUCGGCGUCUGUGGUUACAUCAAUUAACACACUUAACACGAUCUUGGUAUUUGAUCUGAGUCUGGCCACUACCAUAUACACACUAACCAACUACGCGAGAAUAGUUAUGCGCAAUCGACGUUGUGGUAUCAGCCGAAGCCUUCGUGACGUCAGCGACUGAGCGGAGCGCGCCGGGUUGGACCACGUAACGCAACUUCCUUUGUAAUGGAGGUUGCUAGUUCUGACCGCCAUCGCGUACGCAACGUGUAGGUGUGCAAUGGGCGAUGGGCCCAGACCCCUACGCGCAUAGGAUUUAGACCGGCGUGCUGGCCUCUUUGUUGUGCCUGUUGGAAAUAUGCCCUAGAGGCAAUAAUAAAUUGGUUAUUAUUAUAUUUCCUUGUUCAUGAUAAUCAUUUAUUAUCCAUGCUAGAAUUGUAUUGAUAGGAAACUCAUAUACAUGUGUGGAUACAUAGACAACACCAUGUCCCUAGUAAGCCACUAGUUAACCAGCUCGUUCAUCAAUAGAUGGUUACGGUUUCCUGACCAUGGACAUUGGAUGUCUUUGAUAACGGGAUCACAUCAUUAGGAGAAUGAUGUGAUGGACAAGACCCAAUCCUAAGCCUAGCACAAAGAUCGUGUAGUUCGUAUGCUAAAGCUUUUCUAAAUGUCAAGUAUCAUUUCCUUAGACCAUGAGAUUGUGCAACUCCUGGAUACCGUAGGAAUGCUUUGGGUGUGCCAAACGUCACAAUGUAACUGGGUGGCUAUAAAGGUGCACUACGGGUAUCUCCGAAAGUGUCUGUUGGGUUGGCACGAAUCGAGACUGGGAUUUGUCACUCCGUGUGACGGAGAGGUAUCUCUGGGCCCACUCGGUAGGACAUCAUCAUUAUGUGCACAAUGUGACCAAGGAGUUGAUCACGAGAUGAUGUGUUACGGAACGAGUAAAGAGACUUGCCGGUAAUGAGAUUGAACAAGGUAUCGGAUACCAACGAUCGAAUCUCGGGCAAGUAUAAUACCGCUGGACAAAGGGAAUUGAAUACGGGAUUGAUUGAAUCCUUGACAUCAUGGUUCAUCCGAUGAGAUCAUCGUGGAACAUGUGGGAGCCAACAUGGGUAUCCAGAUCCCGCUUUUGGUUAUUGACCGGAGAGUCGUCUCGGUCAUGUCUGCAUGUCUCCCGAACCCGUAGGGUCUACACACUUAAGGUUCGGUGACGCUAGGGUUGUAGAGAUAUUAGUAUGCGGUAACCCAAAAGUUGUUCGGAGUCGCGGAUGAGAUCCCGGACGUCACGAGGAGUUCCUAAAUGGUCCGGAGGUAAAUAUUUAUAUAUAGGAAGUCCUAUUUUGGCCACCGGAAAAUGUUUGGGAUUUUUCGGUAUUGUACCGGAAAGGUUCUAGAAGGUUCCGGAGUGGGGCCCACCUGCAUGUGGGGACCCACAUGAACAUGGGUAGUGGGGGCAAAGCCCCACACCCCUGGUCAAGGCGCACCAAGAUCCCCCCUUAGAAGGAAUAAGAUCAUAUCCCGAAGGGAUAAGAUGAAGAUCCCUAAAAAGGGGGGAUAACAAUCGGUGGGGAAGGGAAAUGAUGGGAUUUCUUUCCCCCACCUUUGCUAACGCCCCAAUGGACUUGGAGGGCAAGAAACCAGCCCCCUCCACCCCUAUAUAUAGUGGGGAGGCGCAUGGGAGCCGCACCCUAGCCCCUGGCGCCUCCCUCUCCCCUCGUAACACCUAUCCCUCUUGCUGAGCUUGGCGAAGCCCUGCCGAGAUCCCCGCUGCUUCCACCACCACACCGUCGUGCUGCUGGAUCUCCAUCAACCUCUCCUUCCCCCUUGCUGGAUUAAGAAGGAGGAGACGUCUUCCCCAACCGUAUGUGUGUUGAACGCGGAGGUGCCGUCCGUUCGGUGCUCGGUCAUCGGUGAUUUGGAUCACGACGAGUAUGACUCCAUCAACCCCGUUCUCUUGAACGCUUCUGCUCGCGAUCUACAAGGGUAUGUAGAUGCACUCCUCUCUCUCGUUGCUAGAUGACUCCAUAGAUUGAUCUUGGUGAUGCGUAGAAAAUUUUAAAAUUCUGCUACGUUCCCCAACAAUGGCAUCAUGAGCUAGGUCUAUGCGUAGUUUCUAUGCACGAGUAGAACACAAAGUAGUUGUGGGCGUCGAUUUUGUCAAUUUACUUGCCAUUACUAGUCUUAUGUUGAUUUGGCGGCAUCGUGGGAUGAAGCGGCCUGGACCGACCUUACACGUACACUUACGUGAGACAGGUUCCACCGACUGACAUGCACUAGUUGCAUAAGGUGGCUAGCGGGUGUCUGUCUCUCCCACUUUAGUCGGAUCGGAUUCGAUGAAAAGGGUCCUUAUGAAGGGUAAAUAGAAAUUGGCAUAUCACGUUGUGGUUUUUGCGAGGGUAAGAAAUGUCCUUGCUAAGAAACCUAUAGCAGCCACGUAAAAAUUUGCAACAACAAUUAGAGGACAUCUAACUUGUUUUUGCAGCAUAUGCCGUGUGAUGUGAUAUGGCCAAAAGGAUGUGAUGAAUGAUAUAUGUGAUGUAUGAGAUUGAUCAUGUUCUUGUAAUAGGAAUCACGACUUGCAUGUCGAUGAGUAUGACAACCGGCAGGAGCCAUAGGAGUUGUCUUAAUUUAUUUAUGACCUGUGUGUCAACAUAAAUGUCAUGUAUUUACUUUACUUUAUUGCUAAACCGUUAGCCAUAGUAGUAGAAGUAAUAGAUGACGAGACAACUUCAUGAAGACACGAUGAUGGAGAUCAUGAUGAUGGAGAUCAUGGUGUCAUGCCGGUGACGAUGAUGAUCAUGGCGCCCCGAAGAUGGAGAUCAAAAGGAGCAAAAUGAUAUUGGGCAUAUCAUGUCACUAUUUGAUUGCAUGUGAUGUUUAUCAUGUUUUACAUCUUAUUUGCUUAGAAUGAUGGUAGCUAAAAUAAUAUGAUCCCUCGCAAUAAUUUCAAGAAAAGUGUUCCCCCUAACUGCGCACCGUUGCGAAGGUUCGUUGUUUCGAAGCACCACGUGAUGAUCGGGUGUGAUAGAUUCUAACGUUCGAAUACAACGGGUGUAAGCCAGAUUUACACACGCAAUACACUUAGGUUGACUUGACGAGCCUAGCAUGUACAGACAUGGCCUCGGAACGCGGAAGACCGAAAUGUCGAACAUGAAUCGUAUAGAAGAUACGAUCAACAUGAAGAUGUUCACCGAUGAUGACUAAUCCGUCUCAUGUGAUGAUCGGACACGACCUAGUUGACUCGGAUCAUGUAUCACUUAGAUGACUAGAGGGAUGUCUAUCUAAGUGGGAGUUCAUUAAAUAAUCAGAUGAACUUAAUUAUCAUGAACAUAUUCAAAAGGACUUUGCAAAUUAUGGUGUAGCUUACGCAUUAGUUCUACUGUUUUAGAUAUGUUCCUAGAGAAAAUUUAGUUGAAAGUUGAUAGUAGCAAUUAUGCGGACUGGGUCCGUAAACAGAGGAUUGUCCUCAUUGCUGCGCAGAAGGAUUAUGUCCUUAAUGCACCGCUCAGUGAGCUGAACCUCGAACGUCGGUUGUGGAUGUUGCGAACAUCUGACAUACACGUUUUGAUGGCUACAUGAUAGUUCAGUGCGUAAUGCUAAAUUGUUUAGAAUUGAGGCACCAAAGGCGUUUUUGAAACAUCGCAGAACAUAUGAGAUGUUUCAAGGACUGAAAUUGGGAUUUCAGGCUAGUGCCCACGUCAAGAGGUAUGAGACCUUUGACAAGUUUCUUAAGCCUGCACACUAAGGAGAAAAGCUCAAUCGUUGAGCAUGUGCUUAGAUUGUAUGAGUACUACAAUCGCUUGAAUCGAGUGGGAGUUGAUCUUCCAGAUGAGAUAGUGAUGGUUCUCCAAAGUCACUGCCACCAAGCUACUAGAGCUUCGUGAUGAACUAUAACAUAUCAGGGAUAGAUAUGAUGAUCCUUGAGCUAUUCGCGACACCGCGAAAGUAGAAAUCAAAUAGGAGCAUCAAUUGUUGAUGGUUAGUAAAAUGACUAGUUUCAAGAAGGGCAAGGGCAAGAAAGGGAUACUUCAUGAAACGACAAAUCAGUUGCUGCUCUAGUGAAGAAACCCAAAGUUGAACCCAAGCCCGAGACUAAGUGCUUCUGUAAUAAGGGGAACGGUCACUGAAGCAGAACCACCCUAGAUACUUGGUAGAUGAGAAGGCUGGCAAGGUUGAAAGAAGUAUGUAUUGGACAUACAUUAUAUUAAAUGUGUACUUUACUAGUACUCCUAGUAGCAGCAGGUGAUAGAGGCGAGGGUGUCCCGAUCUUUCGAUGAGAUGAUAACUAUCGAUUUGGUGGAGACGACUUUGACGAUCCGACUACAAACAUGCACGACGUUGCGCCUUAGCAAUCGCUAAACCAAUCUCCUGAGGUUACUGACGAUGCCGGAAGCACGGUCAGCCUGACCACGAAGGUCUAUUCCUGCAAGCAAUCGAAGAACGAGCAAAAAUAUGAUAAAGCAAUCUGAAUAUUGCAAAUAUAUAUGAGGUAUUGAUAAUAGUGGGGAUCCGGAAGCGGUCUUGGUCUGGUCGUUGGACACAAACGAAGUACACGAAGUUACAAUGGCUAACUUUUAACUAAACAAAUCCCAAGGAAAAGCUACUAGAUGGAUCUACUUAUAUAGGAGCAAGGGGUGGCGGCCAAGGAGGUGGGAGGACGUCCCAAGGCAGCCUAAAACUAAAUCUAGGUCGUACAAGGCCAAUGGGCCCAAGUGGAGGUGAUGUAACACCUUUGGACUUGUAGUUUGACUCGGAUUCUGCUGCAGCAUCAGAUUGUUUCAUCCACAACUCAACGCUCCGGACGAAUUUGAAGGUGAUUCCAAUUGGGUUGGAAAGUGCACGAAAUCUAGUUUCCACCAAAAAAAGAAUCACCCAAUUCGGAGUCCGUAUGAAAAACUUGUGUGCGUUUUGAGUCAGGUAUGUCUGUGCAGUCCGAAUCUGAAUCCAGAACAUGAGAGACUUGGACUCUAUCUUCUCUUGGGCCAAAAGUGACGUGAGAGAACUUUUUGGACAGCAAAUAAACAUCUCUUUCUUCCUUAUCUUCAUAUGUGGAUUGUACAAAUGUCCCAUACACCUGCAAUUAGACAAAACACAAAAGUGUGUGAAGUAUUUUUGUUCUGGAUAACAUAAAUAUGCAUAGUUUGCACUAGAAAUCACCUGACAAAUAUGCAUAUAUGCAAUAUUUUUGGUCAUAUCCAAGGUAGUCAUGUCCUCAUCAUCCUCCCCUUCUUGAAAAUAAAGCCGUCCUCGGCGUUGCUUAAUCUGAAAUGUGGCUAACAAAAGAGACAAGGUGUACAUGUUGUAUAUGUAUAUGUCAUCCAUUUUUACUUCCCUUGAUUUCUGCAUAUAUGACACAUGAAUAGAUGAGUAACUUGCAUAGUUCAUAAAAUCUAAAGCCAAAAAAUUAGCACAAGAAGUAGAAGGCAUGAAAAUAUUGCAACUCAGUUUGCACAUAUAAGUGAAGCUCUUAUUCAUUUCAAAAGAUUGACAAUUGUCAUCAUUAAACCAUCCCAACAUUGGUGAAUAAACCUUACUUGCAUCAAAUUUACAUGCUACAACAUGCUUAAAUAAGCAAACAUGCAAUAAGUCAUUCAACACAGAAUCAUCACCAAGAUUAGAGGUCAUAUCAAAAUGAUUAAACAUUGGUUCUUUUGCAUCAAUAGUUAAUUCAAUGGGUGCACUCAAAAUUGUUGGUAUUUCAGUUGUUUGAUCACAUGGCAAAGUCAAAUUAUCAACGUAGUCCUCUAAAAUAGGUGGUUUGAUCAAAGUAGUGGGUAGCUCAUCAGAUGGUGCAUUCAAAUUGACAAGGCAUUCAUCAUUCUCAUGUAGAGAUGGAAGAUCAGUACCUUUGUCAUUACCUCUUAUGAUCAACUCAGAUGAUGUAGCCACUCUCGGGGGCGAUGUGUCACAUGGUGGAGGUGAUGUAGUCCUGACAACAACGGAUGUGGUUGUCAUAGUAUGCCUAGUAGUUGAAGGAACAAUCAUAUCAACUCUUGGAAUGUGCACCGUGCGCUUGUUCUCCUCGUGGCCAACACGUCGUUUUAUUUCCUGUUCAGCUUUGCAAGCAAGAUGAUAGAGGCGGGGGUGUCCCGAUCUUUCGAUGAGAUGAUAACUAUCGAUUUGGUGGAGACGACUUUGACGAUCCGACUACAAACGUGCACGACGUUGCGCCUUAGCAAUCGCUAAACCAAUCUCCUGAGGUUACUGACGAUGCCGGAAGCACGGUCAGCCUGACCACGAAGGUCUAUUCCUGCAAGCAAUCGAAGAACGAGCAAGAAUAUGAUAAAGCAAUCUGAAUAUUGCAAAUAUAUAUAAGGUAUUGAUAAUGGUGGGGAUCCGUAAGCGGUCUUGGUCUGGUCGUUGGACACAAACGAAGUACACGAAGUUGCAAUGGCUAACUUUUAACUAAACAAAUCCCCCGGAAAAGCUACUAGAUGGAUCUACUUAUAUAGGAGCAAGGGGUGGCGGCCAAGGAGGUGGGAGGACGUCCCAAGGCAGCCUAAAACUAAAUCUAGGUCGUACAAGGCCAAUGGGCCCAAGUGGAGGUGAUGUAACACCUUUGGACUUGUAGUUUGACUCGGAUUCUGCUGCAGCAUCAGAUUGUUUCGUCCACAACUCAAAGCUCCGGACGAAUUUGAAGGUGAUUCCAAUUGGGUUGGAAAGUGCACGAAAUCUAGUUUCCAACAAAAAAAAUCACCCAAUUCGGAGUCCGUAUGAAAAACUUGUGUGCGUUUUGAGUCAGAUGUGUCUGUGCAGUCCGAAUCUGAAUCCAGAACGUGAGAGACUUGGAAUCUAUCUUCUCUUGGGCCAAAAGUGACGUGAGAGAACUUUUUGGACAGCAAAUAAACAUCUCUUUCUUCCUUAUCUUCAUAUGUGGAUUGUACAAAUGUCCCAUACACCUGCAAUUAGACAAAACACAAAAGUGUGUGAAGUAUUUUUGUUCUGGAUAACAUAAAUAGAUUAUUGAAUAGUUUGCACUAGAAAUCACCUGACAAAUAUGCAUAUAUGCAAUAUUUUUGGUCAUAUCCAAGGUAGUCAUGUCCUCAUCAUCCUCCCCUUCUUGAAAAUAAAGCCGUCCUCGGCGUUGCUUAAUCUGAAAUGUGGCUAACAAAAGAGACAAGGUGUACAUGUUGUAUAUGUAUAUGUCAUCCAUUUUUACUUCCCUUGAUUUUUGCAUAUAUGACACAUGAAUAGAUGAGUAACUUGCAUAGUUCAUAAAAUCUAAAGCCAAAAAAUUAGCACAAGAAGUAGAAGUCAUGAAAAUAUUGCAACUCAGUUUGCACAUAUAAGUGAAGCUCUUAUUCAUUUCAAAAGAUUGACAAUGUUCAUCAUUAAACCAUCCCAACAUUGGUGAAUAAACCUUACUUGCAUCAAAUUUACAUGCUACAACAUGCUUAAAUAAGCAAACAUGCAAUAAGUCAUUCAACACAGAAUCAUCACCAAGAUUAGAGGUCAUAUCAAAAUGAUUAAACAUUGGUUCUUUUGCAUCAAUAGUUAAUUCAAUGGGUGCACUCAAAAUUGUUGGUAUUUCAGUUGUUUGAUCACAUGGCAAAGUCAAAUUAUCAACGUAGUCCUCUAAAAUAGGUGGUGUGAUCAAAGUAGUGGGUAGCUCAUCAGAUGGUGCAUUCAAAUUGACAAGGCAUUCAUCAUUCUCAUGUAGAGAUGGAAGAUCAGUACCUUUGUCAUUACCUCUUAUGAUCAACUCAGAUGAUGUAGCCACUCUCGGGGGCGGUGUGUCACAUGGCGUAGGUGAUGAAAUAAAGCCGUCCUCGGCGUUGCUUAAUCUGAAAUGUGGCUAACAAAAGAGACAGGGUCUACAUGUUGUAUAUGUAUAUGUCAUCCAUUUUUACUUCCCUUGAUUUUUGCAUAUAUGACACAUGAAUAGAUGAGUAACUUGCAUAGUUCAUAAAAUCUAAAGCCAAAAAAUUAGCACAAGAAGUAGAAGGCAUGAAAAUAUUGCAACUCAGUUUGCACAUAUAAGUGAAGCUCUUAUUCAUUUCAAAAGAUUGACAAUGUUCAUCAUUAAACCAUCCCAACAUUGGUGAAUAAACCUUACUUGCAUCAAAUUUACAUGCUACAACAUGCUUAAAUAAGCAAACAUGCAAUAAGUCAUUCAACACAGAAUCAUCACCAAGAUUAGAGGUAAUAUCAAAAUGAUUAAACAUUGGUUCUUUUGCAUCAAUAGUUAAUUCAAUGGGUGCACUCAAAAUUGUUGGUAUUUCAGUUGUUUGAUCACAUGGCAAAGUCAAAUUAUCAACGUAGUCCUCUAAAAUAGGUGGUGUGAUCAAAGUAGUGGGUAGCUCAUCAGAUGGUGCAUUCAAAUUGACAAGGCAUUCAUCAUUCUCAUGUAGAGAUGGAAGAUCAGUACCUUUGUCAUUACCUCUUAUGAUCAACUCAGAUGAUGUAGCCACUCUCGGGGGCGAUGUGUCACAUGGUGGAGGUGAUGUAGUCCUGACAACAACGGAUGAGGUUGUCAUAGUAUGCCUAGUAGUUGAAGGAACAAUCAUAUCAACUCUUGGAAUGUGCACUGUGCGCUUGUUCUCCUCGUGGCCAACACGUCGUUUUAUUUCCUGUUCAGCUUUGCAAGCAAGAUGAAACAAAUGGUCCAUAGGAUAACACUCUUCAUGAAUUAGUAUCUCUUGAAUAUCACGGUUUAAUCCUCCCCAAAAUCUAUCCAUAAAAUCAUCUUCACUUUCUUCUAAAGAGGAAUGCAACAAGGUAGUUUGUAAAUCAUCAUAAUAUUUUUUUACAGUUUCACUACCUUGUUUUAAGUGUUGCAACUUCUUAAUAAUGUCACGAGUAUAAUAAGCAGGGACGAAAGUAUGUCGCAUGGCAAGUUUCAAAUCAUCCCAAGUAGUAGGUAUAUAAUCAGGGUGUAACCGACAAUAUUCACUCCACCAAACCAAAGCAUAACCAGUGAAAAAACCAACCGCAACCUUAACCUUUUUAUGUUCAUCGAAAUUAUGGGAAGCAAAUAUAUUUUUUAUGUCGAACUCCCAUUCAAUAUAUAAAGUAGGUUUAAAACGGCCAUUAAAUGGUGGUAUAGAUACAUUAACCUGAUCAUGUGCAUUUGGAUGUUUGUGCACCUCUCGUGACGGUUGUGGUAUUUGCAAAGGUGGUGGCACGUCUCCCGCGAUCGAUAAAGCCCAUGAAUUGACUCUGGAUCCUGUCAUGAUUAGUAGAACAAGAAGCAAAACCCAAAAAUAAUGUUCCUAUAACUACUAGGAUGUGGUGGUAAAACGCUCACAGUAAAGCAAAUAUCAAUGUCUUACAAGUUCUUACCAUGCAGCAGGCGGUGAUCGGCAACCAGCGGUGUCAAGUAACUCCGAAUAUUGAGUAAAGCGAUUGCCAGGGGAGCGUACGUAUACACGGUGUAGAAAUAUGUGGAGCUGGGUUGGCUAUAUAUGGUAGCAAAAGAUUAGCAAUAAUCAAUUCAAAGAUGCAAUGUUGAAUAAACGCUCAACGACGGUACUGUGCUGGUCCUAGGCUAGACCGGACUAGAGACGCGAGCCUAGAACACUAAUGAGGUCACGGCGUAGCACAACUAGCAUCAAUGAAGGAUACUAAGUAGCUCUUGACAGCAAGAUAUAAGUGAAGAUAUAAGUGAUAGAGGCGAGGGUCCCGAUCUUUCGAUGAGAUGAUAACUAUCGAUUUGGUGGAGACGACUUUGACGAUCCGACUACAAACGUGCACGACGUUGCGCCUUAGCAAUCGCUAAACCAAUCUCCUGAGGUUACUGACGAUGCCGGAAGCACGGUCAGCCUGACCACGAAGGUCUAUUCCUGCAAGCAAUCGAAGAACAAGCAAGAAUAUGAUAAAAGCAAUCCGAAUAUUGCGAGUAUAUAUGAAGUAUUGAUAAAGGUGGGGAUCCGUAAGCGGUCUUGGUCUGGUCGUUGGACACAAACGAAGUACACGAAGUUGCAAUGGCUAACUUUUAACUAAACAAAUCCCAAGGAAAAGCUACUAGAUGGAUCUACUUAUAUAGGAGCAAGGGGUGGCGGCCAAGGAGGUGGGAGGACGUCCCAAGGCAGCCUAAAACUAAAUCUAGGUCGUACAAGGCCAAUGGGCCCAAGUGGAGGUGAUGUAACACCUUUGGACUUGUAGUUUGACUCGGAUUCUGCUGCAGCAUCAGAUUGUUUCGUCCACAACUCAACGCUCCAGACGAAUUUGAAGGUGAUUCCAAUUGGGUUGGAAAGUGCACGAAAUCUAGUUUCCCACAAAAAAAGAAUCACCCAAUUCGGAGUCCGUAUGAAAAACUUGUGUGCGUUUUGAGUCAGGUAUGUCUGUGCAGUCCGAAUCUGAAUCCAGAACGUGAGAGACUUGGACUCUAUCUUCUCUUGGGCCACAAGUGACAUGAGAGAACUUUUUGGACAGCAAAUAAACAUCUCUUUCUUCCUUAUCUUCAUAUGUGGAUUGUACAAAUGUCCCAUACACCUGCAAUUAGACAAAACACAAAAGUGUGUGAAGUAUUUUUGUUCUGGAUAACAUAAAUAGAUUAUUGAAUAGUUUGCACUAAAAAUCACCUGACAAAUAUGCAUAUAUGCAAUAUUUUUGGUCAUAUCCAAGGUAGUCAUGUCCUCAUCAGCAGGGUAUUAGAUACCGGUUCGGUUGCUAAGUGUUGGUAACUCGAAAUGAAAGGCUACGGAAUAAACGGAGACUAGUCAACGGUGAGACGAUGAUAUGUGUUGGAAGUGUUUCCAAGGUUGAUGUGAUCAAGCAUCGCACGCUCCGUUUACCAUCAGGAUUGGUGUUAUUUGGUGUUUGAGUUGAGCAUAGACAUGAUUGAAUUAUGUUUAUCGCAAUACGGUUAUUCAUUUAAGGAGAAUAAUGGUUACUCUAUUUAUUUGAAUAAUACCUUCAAUGGUCUUGCACCUAAAAUGAAUGGUUUAUCGAAUCCCGAUCGUAGUGAUACACAUGUUCAUGCCAAAAGAUAUAAGAUAGUAAUGAUAGUACCACAUACUUGUGGCACUGCAAUUUUAGUCACAAUGGUAUAAAACGCAUGAAGAAGCUCCAUGUUGAUGGAUCUUUGGACUCGCUUGAUUUUGAAUCACUUGAGACAUGCAAAUCAUACCACAUGAGCAAGAUGACUGAAAGGCCUCGUUUUCAGUAAGAUGGAACAAGAAAGCAACUUGUUGGAAGUAAUACAUCUUGAUGUGUGCAGUCCAAUGAGUGCUGAGGCAUGUAGUGGAUAUCGUUAUAUUCUUACUUCACAGAUGAUUUGAGUAGAUGCUAAGUAUAUUUACUUGAUGAAUCACGAGCCUGAAUUAUUGAAAGGUUCAAGUAAUUUCAGGGUGAAGUUGAAGAUCGUCGUGACAAGAGGAUAAAAUAUCUAUGAUAUGAUCAUAGAGAUGAAUAUCUGAAUUACGAGUUUGGCACAGAAUUAAGACAUUGUGGAAAUUGUUUCACAACUAAUACAGCCUGGAACACCAUAGUGUGAUGGUGUGUCCGAACAUCAUAACUGCACCCUAUUGGAUAUGAUGCAUACCAUGAUGUCUCUUAUCGAAUUACCACGAUAGUUUAUGGGUUAGGCAUUAGAGACAACCACAUUCACUUUAAAUAGGGCACCACGUAAUUCCGAUGAGAUGACACAGUAUGAACUAUGGUUUAGAGAAACCUAAGUUGCCAUUUCUUAAAAGUUUGGGGCUGCAACGCUUAUGUGAAAAAGUUUCAGGCUGAUAAGCUCGAACCCAAAGCGGAUAAAUGCAUCUUCAUAGAGUACCCAAAACAGUUGGGUAUACCUCCUGUCUCAGAUCUGAAAGCAAUAGGGAUUGUUUCUAGAAUUGGGUCCUUUCUCGAGGAAAAGUUUCUCUUGAAAGAAUUGAGUGGGAGGAUGGUGGAGACUUGAUGAGGUUAUUGAACUGUCACUUCAACCAGUGUAUAGCAGGGCAUAGGGAGUUGUUCCUGUGGCACCUACACCAAUUGAAGUGGAAGCUUAUGAUAGUGAUCAUGAAACUUCGGAUCAAGUCACUACCAAACCUCGUAGGAUGACAAGGAUGCGUACUACUUUAGAGUGGUACGUAAUCCUGUCUUGGAAGUCAUGUUGCUAGACAACAAUGAACCUACGAGCUAUGGAGAAGCGAUGGUGGGCCCGGAUUCCGAAAAUUGGCUCGAGGCCAUAAAAUCCGAGAGAGGAUCCAUGUAUGAAAACAAAGUGUAGACUUUGGAAGAACUGCUUGAUGGUCAUAAGGCUGUUGGGUACAUAUGGAUUUUAAAAGAAAGACGGACAAUGGUGGUAAGUAUCACCAUUAAGAAAGCUCGACUUGUCGUUAAGAUGUUUUCCGACAAGUUCAAGGAGUUGACUACGAUGAGACUUUCUCACUCGUAGCGAUGCUAGGAGUCUGUUGGAAUUAUGUUAGCAGUUACUGCAUUGUUUAUGAAAUCUUGCAGAUACGAUGUCAAAAUAUUGUUUCCUUGACGAUUUUAUUGAGGAAAGGUUGUAUGUGAUACAACCAGAAGGUUUUGUCAGUCCUGAAAAAUGCUAACAAGUAUGCAAAGCUCCAGUAAUCCUUCUAAGGACUAGAGUAAGCAUCUCGGAGUUGGAAUGUACGCUUUGAUGAGAUGAUCAAAGCUUUUGGGUUUAUACAAAGUUUAUGAGAAACUUGUAUUUCCAAAGAAGUGAGUGGGAGCACUAUAGAAUUUCUGAUGAGUAUAUGUUGUUGACAUAUUGUUGAUCAGAAAUGAUGUAGAAUUUCUGGAAAGCAUAUAGGGUUAUUUGAAAAGUGUUUUUCAAUGGAAAACCUGGAUUAAGCUACUUGAACAUUGAGCAUCAAGAUCUAUAAGGAUAGAUCAAAACGCUUAAUGGUACUUUCAAAUGAGCACAUACCUUGACAGGAUCUUGAAGGUGUUCAAGAUGGAUCAGUCAAAGAAGGAGUUCUUGCCUGAGUUGUAAGGUAUGAAGUUAUGAAGUUAAAGCUCGACCAUGGCAGGAGAAAGAGGAAGGCCGAAGGUCGUCCCCUAUGCUUUUGUCAUAGGCUCUAUACAGUAUGCCAUGCUGAGUACCACACCUGAUGUGUGCCUUGCCACAUGUCUGGUAAGAGGGUACAAAGGUGAUCUAGGAGUAGAUCACCAGAUAAUGGUCAAAAUUAUCCUUAGAGGAAUAAGGAUAUGGUUCUCGGUUAUGGAGGUGAUAAAGAGUUCGACGUAAAGAGUUACAUCGAUGCAAGCUUAACACCUAUCCGGAUAGCUCUGAGUAGAGAUACCGGAUACGUAUAAUGGAGCAACAAUUUAGAAUAGCUCCAAGUAGAACGGUUAUUUGAAAUGGCUCCAAAUAUAGCAUAGAGAUUUGCGAAGUACAUAUGGAUCUGAAUGUUGCAGGCCCAUUGACUAAAACCUCUCUCACAAGCAUAACAUGAUCAAACCCAGAACUCAUUGAGUGUUAAUCACAUAGUGAUGUGAAGUAGAUUAUUGACUCUAGUAAACUCUUUGGAUGUUGGUCACAUGGCGAUGUGACCUGUGAGUGUUAAUCACAUGGCGACGUGAACUAGAUUAUUGACUCUAGUGCAAGUGGGAGACUGUUGGAAAUAUGCCCUAGAGGCAAUAAUAAAUUGGUUAUUAUUAUAUUUCCUUGUUCAUGAUAAUCGUUUAUUAUCCAUGCUAGAAUUGUAUUGAUAGGAAACUCAGAUACAUGUGUGGAUACAUAGACAACACCAUGUCCCUAGUAAGCCUCUAGUUAACUAGCUCGUUCAUCAAUAGAUGGUUACGGUUUCCUGACCAUGGACAUUGGAUGUCGUUGAUAACCGGAUCACAUCAUUAGGAGAAUGAUGUGAUGGACAAGACCCAAUCCUAAGCCUAGCACAAAGAUCGUGUAGUUCGCAUGCUAAAGCUUUUCUAAAUAUCAAGUAUCAUUUCCUUAGACCAUGAGAUUGUGCAACUCCCGGAUACCGUAGGAAUGCUUUGUUUGUGCCAAACGUCACAACGUAACUGGGUAGCUAUAAAGGUGCACUACGGGUAUCUCCGAAAGUGUCUGUUGGGUUGGCACGAAUCGAGACUGGGAUUUGUCACUCCGUGUGACGGAGAGGUAUCUCUGGGCCCACUCGGUAGGACAUCAUCAUAAUGUGCACAAUGUGACCAAGGAGUUGAUCACGAGAUGAUGUGUUACGGAACGAGUAAAGAGACUUGCCGGUAACGAGAUUGAACAAGGUAUCGGAUACCAACGAUCGAAUCUCGGGCAAGUAUAAUACCGCUGGACAAAGGGAAUUGAAUACGGGAUUGAUUGAAUCCUUGACAUCGUGGUUCAUCCGAUGAGAUCAUCAUGGAACAUGUGGGAGCCAACAUGGGUAUCCAGAUCCCGCUGUUGGUUAUUGACUGGAGAGUCGUCUCGGUCAUGUCUGCAUGUCUCCCGAACCCGUAGGGUCUACACACUUAAGGUUCGGUGACGCUAGGGUUGUAGAGAUAUUAGUAUGCGGUAACCCAAAAGUUGUUCGGAGUCCCGGAUGAGAUCUCGGACGUCACGAGGAGUUCCUAAAUGGUCCGGAGGUAAAGAUUUAUAUAUAGGAAGUCCUAUUUUGGCCACCGGAAAAUGUUCGGGAUUUUUCAGUAUUGUACUGGGAAGGUUCUAGAAGGUUCCGGAGUGGGGCCCACCUGCACGGGGGGACCCACAUGAACGUGGGUAGUGGGGGCAAGGCCCCACACCCCUGGUCAAGGCGCACCAAGAUUCCCCCUUAGAAGGAAUAAGAUCAUAUCCUGAAGGGAUAAGAUCAAGAUCCCUAAAAAGGGGGGAUAACAAUCGGUGGGGAAGGGAAAUGAUGGGAUUUCUUUCCCCCACCUUUGCUAACGCCCCAAUGGACUUGGAGGGCAAGAAACCAGCCCCCUCCACCCCUAUAUAUAGUGGGGAGGCGCAUGGGAGCCACACCCUAGCCCCUGGCGCCUCCCUCCCCCCUCGUAACACCUCUCCCUCUCGCUGAGCUUGGUGAAGCCCUGCUGAGAUCCCCGCUGCUUCCACCACCACGCCGUCGUGCUGCUGGAUCUCCAUCAACCUCUCCUUCCCCCUUGCUGGAUCAAGAAGGAGGAGACGUCUUCCCCAACCGUACGUGUGUUGAACGCGGAGGUGCCGUCCGUUCGGUGCUCAGUCAUCGGUGAUUUGGAUCACGACGAGUAUGACUCCAUCAACCCCGUUCUCUUGAACACUUCUGCUCGCGAUCUACAAGGGUAUGUAGAUGCACUCCUCUCUCUUGUUGCUAGAUGACUCCAUAGAUUGAUCUUGGUGAUGCAUAGAAAAUUUUAAAAUUCUGCUACGUUCCCCAACAGUGCCUAGGUGGGGCUACGACGUGUUGAUCUUCCGAGGCUGGGCAUAACCCAGGAAAGUGUGUCCGGCCAAAGGGGAUCGAGCAUGUUGGGAAAUGUGGUGCACCCCUGCAGGGAAGUUUAUCUAUUCGAAUAGCCGCAUCCCUCGGUAAAAGGACGACCCGGAGUUGUACGUUGACCUUAUAACAACUAGAACCGGAUACUUAAUAAAAUACACCCUUCCAAGUGCCAGAUACAACCUGGUGAUCGCUCUCUCAUAGGGCGUCGAGGAGAGGAUCGCCGGGUAGGUUUAUGCUAUGCGAUGAUACUUGGUUAACUUAUCAUCUAUUCUCUUCUACUGCUUCAAUUUGGAGGCUGCCGGAAGCGUAGUCUUCGAUAGGACUAGCUAUCCCCCUCUUAUUCUGGCAUUCUGCAGUUCAGUCCACAUAUACUACCCCUUUCAUUGAUACCAAUGCAUAUGUAGUGUAGUUCCUUGCUUGCGAGUACUUUGAAUGAGUACUCACGGUUGCUUUGCUCCCCCAUUUCCCCCUUUCUAUACCUGGUUGUUGCGACCAGAUGAUGGAGCCCAGGAGCCAGACGCCAUCGUCGACAAUGACUCCUACUACACCGGAGGUGUCUACUACUACGUGCGAGCCGCCACCGCCGACCAGGAGUGGUUUAGGAGGGUCCCAGGCAGGAGGCAUGCGCCUCUUUCGACCUGUAUCCCAGUUUGUGCUAGCCAUCUUAUGGCAACUUGUUUAACUUAUGUCUGUACUCAUAUAUUGUUGCUUCCGCUGACUCGUCUAUGAUCGAGCUUUUAUAUUCGAGACCUCAAGGCCCCUGGCUUGUAAUAUGAUGCUUGUAUGACUUAUUUUAUUUGUAGAGUUGUGUUGUGAUAUCUUCCCAUGAGUCCCUGAUCUUGAUCAUACAUGUUUGCGUGUAUGAUUAGUGUACGGUCAAAUCGAGGGCGUCACAAGUUGUUAUCAGAGCCGACUGCCUGUAGGAGUCCCUCUUCCACACUCCUUGCCGAAGUUGAGUCUAGUCGAUGAAAAUUGUUUUACUAACAUGGCUGUGCGGCCCAUGGGCCCACGUCGCCAUUGGGUGGUAUUAGGAUCUUUUAUUCCUCGUUUAUGCUCUGGGACUCUGAUUUAUCUACUAUUUGGGUUAAAUGAAUUUGCUAACUCCAACAUUAGGAUCUCGUGGUCGCAUACACCCGGAGAGCCCCAUAUUACAGAGGAUCACCUGCUGCAUCAGAAGAUUCCGAAGAUACUCUCUGAUGUUCUCUUGAGACUCUGUGCCCGUCGCUUUUGCAAUCCCCUACCACUGAUACAUCCGUAUGGAUAAAUACUUACACCCGUCCUUCUCACUUUCAUUCCCAGCUGCUCUUGUUAUUACAAGAUGCCCCGAAUUACUCUUUGUUGUUUCGAGAAUCCAUUGAGCUUACUGCCCUGCAGUUCCUUGCCGCAUGAAUACCACUACGAAUAAUUCUUCACACUUAUCGAGGAAUUAUUCAUUACUAGUUGAUCAUAUGAUUCACAAGAUACGUUUAAAUACUAUCUGGUCUUCCGGUAAUUCUCAUCCAACUAUUGCUCUGCAAAUACUUGUCUGCUUGCAUUAUGGUUAAUUCCAUAUUUCUAGCAAUCUCUGUUGACAUCCUUUGUCACUAUCAUUUUGAGUCCCUUGAUUCAAUAUUUUGCGAAUGCUCGCAAUCCUCAAUUAGAUCCUAGAAUUCAUCCUUUCCGGCUCAGUUGUCAUUUUGAACAUGAGCUGGUUCUCGGCCAAUCAAUUGUUGUCGAUUGUACCCCUAAGCCUACUCAACAUACCCAUCCUUAAUCAGAGCGAUUGCUUCUGAUCCCUUGAUUUGGAAAUCUUAAUUCCUUUGCCUUUGAGCUUUGAAUUAGCCAGUUGUUUCUAUAAUCCAAUGCCUUUGCAUUGCUUCUUCCUCUGGUUGUGUGCCGAUGCUCACAUCAGCUUUGUUAUGGACUGUUAGAUCCUUUGAUGAAUUAUCAUAUGAUAGUGUUCUUCAUAUACGAAAAACCUCGAGUAGUUUUUCCCCUGAUACAUAUUGCCAUUAGUAAAUCCUAUUCUCUUGUUUGGCCAACCAUGCUCUACUCUCGAGGUUGUGUUAUGUACUCUCGAAGCUUGUGGCAUAUGUUCCUAAGUUGUCCCCCAUGGGUUCAACCUAUGCCUUCCCUAAUCCAUGUGAACCCGAGAGUUAUCACGAGUCAUACUCUUCUGGUGUUGUGCCAGAUAAAAUUUCAACAUUAUUACUUCUUCAAAAAUGAGAAGUGACUUAAAGGUUAUGCAUUGGAGAAGUGGGAAUCAACCUUGAACUUUGUGUUCAUGCCCAUGGACCCGAUGUGGAACUUAUCAUGGAAGCUUCUUGUAAUAAUAAUACUCCCCUUGUUAUAAGUUCAUCUUGUAUCUAUGCUUGGUCCUUUGCAACCAUGGUUCCGACCAUGAUUGUUUUUCUUUGAUCCCAUUUCUCGGACAAGUUAAAUCGCUUGUCUUCUGCAGAUCAGUAUGCCUGCCCAACCUCGAUUCUGCUCUACCUUCGAGUAUUCCCCAAUGGUAUCUCAAGAAUAUCACGGAACUACAUAACUUCUUAUGAGUUCUUCCUCAACUAUUAUUUCUCAUUGAUUUCAAUUUUCCACGGGUUCUGAGUUGUUAGACACUCAAGGACACUGAUAGCUGAAUCGAGUCCGCCAUGCGAUUCAACAACACUUAGUAAACUUCAUUGCUUACAAGUUUAAUAAUCCUUCAAGUCAUUCCUAGCCUGAUCAGCUAUAUUAUCAUCAUGCUAAAUUUUAACUGUGCUACGUGGUCCUUCUUUCUGGAGCACAAUUUUCGAUGAUAAGCUAAGCUUACGUCGAUUUUCCUCAUCAUAUCAUUUCACUUUGAACAAAAAGCUUGAUUUUGAGUUUGUGUCGUACCCGUGUUCCAAUAACCUUCCGCUUCAUCAUUCCUUUGACUUGUUGUCGUCACUGAUUGAUUACAUUUUCAAGAAAUCUUUCGACAAAUAUGUCAUGAUCAUCCUCAACGUAAUGAGCUCUUCAUGAUAUCAAUCGACUUCGUGAUGAGAAAUAUCAUCCUUGCCCCUUGAUGAUUUGUGUUAUCAUCGACAACAUUAUUGCCUUCCUCCAACACAAACUUGUUCAUGUUAUGGAGAUUCUUGUUAUCCAACUUAUGUUAUGAUCUACCUUGGAGCAUUACCGUCUUUUAUGUCAAGAAUGUACUGAGAAUUUCACCACCUAAUAUGAAUUCUUGGUACAAGGGAUACUUCUCACCCUCACCAUUUUUUCUUGGUACCCAUGUUGAUUCUAACUAGAAUACCGACAAUUGAACUAUGAUGUGUGAAUUCAAAACUUCUAGCAACCCUAUUGCUUUGAAGUGAAUGGUCGAGUUUCAUUCUAAUUCUUUUGUUCAUUAAGUCACCAUUCUAACAUUAAUUGUGCAACCCAGCCCAUAUUUCGGGUGCAACUUUCAACCAAUGUUUAAUUGUGUAUGUUUUUCCUCGAGCAUACAUCAUUAUAUCAUUUGAUAUGACAAAUGUUAUCUCCUUGUUCACAUAAUUGUGGUAAUCCAUCUUUUUGGAAAUCUUGACAAAAUGUUGCUGAAUCCAUCAGCCACCUCCUCAUCCUCUCCUUGGAUUAAUGAUGAACUCUUGUUUCGGAACUUGCUUCCAUAGUUCAUUUCCUGAAAAUCUUACAAUGUCAUCUCGUCAAUUGUAUUGCACCUUUUCUUCUCAGGCAUCCUGAGUCUGAGGUAUCCUGACACCAAUCAGAUCCGAAUCUCAGUCGGAUAUGAUGGUUGGAACAUUUUUCCAAGAGUUAUAGCAUUGGUCUUUAUAAGACCCGAUAAGGUGAUGUCAUGCCUAGCACGCCUGGGCAGAGGACCUAUUGUUAUAGUAUCCUUUUUAGCAAGUUUAGCCAUUCUUCCAUGAGGAAAUUGUAAGACUUAUUCUAUAAGUUGUUUCUGAUGGAUCCUUUGUGAAUCCAAAGUCUGAUCUUUACCCAAUGACUAUGUCAAUGCUAUCUCGAAGCAUGUCUGUGGUACUCCGAUUUUCAAUAAGAACAUUUGAAGCACAAUGCUAAAUUUUCUUUAUUAUUUAUCCUAACACCGUUGUAUCGGUAAUAUCAUGAUAUUCCUUCCCCUUACCUAAAUGGUUUUCUACUUUCUAUCCUGUCAUGUAUAUCAUGCUCCGCUUGUCCUUGGGAAGGAUAUACCCCGAAAUAUGUGUGUAUACACAUUUUCCUUUCCAUUGUUCUGUCUAAACCUGAUAAUCACUUUUCCUUUCCAUUGGUUUGUGUAAACCUUCUUGUGAUCUAUAUUAUAUAAGUAGUAAUAUUUCCCUGCUUAUGUAAACACCUCGUUGUACCACUCUGUCAGUAAGACCAUGUUACUAUUGUUGAAAACAUUCCGGUAACCACCGAUGGACGAGAACUUUGCCUAUUGGUCCGCCUCGUUCAACGAGCAGGAAAUGGUUCUCUUCGUCCCUCGCCCUUGGUACCGAUGUUGUUGGCGACAUAACUGACAAGUUAUCCUCUGACAUGCCUUGCUUACAUGAUCAUUCUAGAUGCCAGCGCCCUUUCUACUUUUAACCCACAUGGUGGGCCCUUAACCCAUAGUUCCACAUGAUUGAAACCUGACUCUCCUGUACACUCCUGUUGCCAAAGUUUUUCCUCGCGCAUGGUCUCGUAUCUAAUUCACGAGCCACCUUCCGGGAGAUCAUCAGUUCUAGUAUCAGACACAAUACUUAUUCUCGUUGCUUGAAACCCCUCUCACACUCUGUUUCAGGCAUCGAAUGUUUGCCUACCCGCUUGAAAAUUUUCAUGCCUACUUUUAUUUCUCUUGAUGUAUUCCCUGAGUUCCAACUCGAGAGAUACUCAUAUGUUCAUUCAUGAGCUAACCCCCAGAUGAGUACCCUUACAGCAUUCUAUCGUUGCCGAGCUGCCACCUAUUCAUAAGUGUGAUUGAGUUCCCAAAGAAAGGAUGACGACUUCAUUAUGAUAAACCGAAACAAAGAAAUGAAGACAUCAACAAGGAUCAACUUCCUCGAGAAGAGAAACCAGGAAUGAGAAGACCCGUUAGAAUUUCGUAACGAGAAUUCCCCCCUUACUCCACCUCUUAGAUCUCGGGACGAGAUUUCUUGUAGUGGAGGAGAUUUAUAACACCCCGAGAAUCAUCCUACAGUAAUCUCCCUGUAAAGAUGGCCAUGUCAUCAUGAUUACUAUGCAAAUUGCCAUUCGAUAAAAAUCAAAGCCAAUUUCAAAUUUAAAACAAAGACAAAUAAAUCAUUUCUUCAAACUGUCCAACAAUAAUGUUCGUUGGGUGGCAAACAAUCACUAAGUAUUUGUCAUGUAGAAACCAAUAUUUUUGAAAUAUUAAAUUGCCACGAACCUACUUAAAUCAGUGCCUAAAACAACAUAUUUAAUCCUUUUGUUUUUAAAAGGAAAUUCAUACAACUUCAAAUCACACCCAAACUUUUUGUGGCAGUGAGGUAUAUUGCAUACUAAAUUUGGAGACUAACCACACAUUUUACAAAAGUCAUUUGGUUAAAGGAUUAAUGCCAAAUAGUAGUUGCAAAUGGAAAACAGAAAAGGAAAAAGGAAAAAGAAGAAAGACACUAUGCACUUAGGCCCAGUGCUACAGUGCAUGACCCAGCCCACCUCCAGUCUCCUCCCACCUCACGUACAGGAGCCCUGCCG